AUACCAGAAACCAAUUUGGGGGAAAUUAUUACCUUUACCAAUUCACGUAGUUUGGCAGAAUGAGUAAGACCAUUCUGAGUGGGCUAUCUUGCUCAGUGUUGUUCACUACUAUCUUGUCACCUACACU
This is a small nucleolar RNA of Cricetulus griseus (Chinese hamster), 127 nucleotides long. The record is from Ensembl. NCBI's taxonomy places the organism in Eukaryota, Metazoa, Chordata, Mammalia, Rodentia, Cricetidae.